UUAUUUAUAGUCUAGUUGGUUAGGAUACUUGACUUUCACUCGAGAGACCUGGGGUUCAAUUCCUAGCAACAAAA
This 74-nucleotide transfer RNA is filed under the name Ipomoea nil (Japanese morning glory). It matches the Rfam family "tRNA". From Rfam's summary of the family: Transfer RNA (tRNA) molecules are approximately 80 nucleotides in length. Lineage: Eukaryota; Viridiplantae; Streptophyta; Magnoliopsida; Solanales; Convolvulaceae. The record is from Rfam by way of RNAcentral.